Molecule: long non-coding RNA, 3034 nt
Filed under: Gallus gallus (chicken)
Lineage: Eukaryota; Metazoa; Chordata; Aves; Galliformes; Phasianidae
Description: lncRNA (ENSGALG00010020042.1)
Source: RNAcentral
GGAAGGGAAGGGAAGGGAAGGGAAGGGAAGGGAAGGGAAGGGAAGGGAAGGGAAGGGAAAGGGAAAGGGAAAGGGAAAGGGAAAGGAAAAGGAAAAGGAAAAGGAAAAGGAAAAGGAAAAGGAAAAGGAAAAGGAAAAGGAAAAGGAAAAGGAAAAAAAAGAAAAAGAGAAAGAAAAAGAGCCUGUUAAAUCAAAACUCAUUCCCUUGGUCUUUCUAGUAAUGUACACUGUGUAAUAAUUCAGUGUAUGAAACAUUCAGCGCCCUCAAUGCUAGCAAUAUUCUUGAAAGGAAGAAAGGAGUUUGUUUUGACUGUACUAUAUCAGAUGUCCUUCCUAAGACUUUGUCUCUUUCUUUAUCUGUCUUUUUUCCCCCAUUGCCACUGCUCUAUUUGCUCUGGCCAACAACCACACAUGUAGCCCUGGUCUGAGUUAGGGUUCCAGUACAUUGGCUCACCUCUGCCUUCUUAGUCCAGCUCCUACCACGUGCCAGGUAGUACUACAAUCUGCUUUGAAACUCACAUACUUCAGUGUUUCCAUUCCACUGCAAAUUGAGGGUGUUAUUUGAUUCUGCAAAAACAAAUAUUACAAAGGUGUUGCCUCUUGAAGUUUUGGAACUUCUGUCACCAAUGCACAAGGGUCUGUAAUUACAGCAAUGUACCCCUCCAUCCUCCACAGCUGCCUCCAGUAGUGUUCCCCCUCAUUAGAAAUCUAUCCUAUAAUUUCGGAUUAGAACUGGAACAUAAGGUAGUAAUUGGCCCUUUCUGUUCUAGUCUUUGCAGAUUUUACAUUGUCAAGAUGAGGCAUUUGUUGUUCUUAAACCUUUCCACCCCUUGGCAAUAGGUCUUGAACUUCAUUUUGCUUUGCUUCGCCUACAUUGGCAGUUGCCCUGGUUCUGUUGCUGUGAGAGCUGGCUGCAGACAGCUUUUCUUCAGGAAGAGCAAGCCUCAAUUCUCUUGGUAAUAGUACAGCCACUGAUUUAUUUAUUUUUUCUCACCACUUGACGUUCAGCUUUUUGCUACACUGGUGACCUGCGUCACUUUCCCAUUGCUACUCUGGCUGUGAAAAUCAUAGAAGAAAGUGAUGUGAAAUUAUAGGCUUUGUCAGUGCCCUGUUUUAAAUAUCUUCUUUCUGGAAAAAGGAACAAGGUAUGUAUCUCAUUAUUCAUUAUUUUUAAAAUGACAAAUCCUUUAAAAUUGUGUUUGUUCCCUGUAUAGGAGAGAAAUAUGAGAGACUUUCUCGAGCUCAGAAUAUGUUAUUGCUGCCUUAGUGCUGGUCAGGUCACACCUGGAGUGCUGGGUCCGUUUCUGGGCCCUCCAGUAUAAAAAAAGAUACAGACAUACUGGAAAGAGUUCAACGUAGGGCCACGAAGAUGAUGAAGAGGCUGGAGCAUCUCUCCUAUGAGGAAAGGCUGAGAGAUCUGGGCCUGUUCAGCCCGGAGAAGAAGCAGUUCAAGGGGUCUCAUUCACACCUAUGUAUAGCUGAAGGGAGGGUGCCAAAAGGAUGGGGCCAGGCUCUUUCCAGUGGUGCCCAAUGCCAGGACAAGAGGCAAUGGACACAAACUGGCAUACAGGGGGUUUCCCCUGAGCGUCAGCAAAUAUUUUUUCAGUGCACAGGUGCUGGACUGCUUGCAUGGGCUGCCCAGAGGCUAUGGAGUCUCCUCCUUGAAGAUCUUCAAAAGCUGCCUGGAUGUGGGCCUGGGUGCCCUGCUGUGUAUGGCCCUGCUUGUGCAGGAAUUGGAGCAGAUGGACCCAGAGGUCCCUGCCCACAUCAGCCAUUCUGAGUUUGCAUGAUUCUUUCUGAAAGUCAUAGUAAUAGGUGCUGAGCUGUAUUUGCUAGUAUGACAUAGCAACAUAUAGGUAAUGUAAAUUUGUGAGCGAGCUCCUUUUAGUUAUAUAUUUAUUUUGAUUUCAAUUGGCAAAAUACAAAAAAGCAUUUCUUAUUCUGGCCUCCAAACUCAUUUAACAGUAGAUUAAGGAAGCAGACCAACCCCCUAAAAGCUUUAGCAAACCAUGAGCUUUUUCCCAUAUGCCAGGAUGCAUCACCAGAUUUUUUCAAGAGAAGAAAAUGGACAAAAAGGCCUCUGCAUGAGUGGGCUGGGGGCAGAGGUCUGUAUAUAUGUACAUGGAGCUGCAGCACUUAAACUGUUUCCUCCUCUGAUCUUUCUGCCUCUUGCCUCAGUGUCUGCAUGGCUGAGGUGUGUACACGCGUGCACAUGUGUGUAUACAUGUAUGUGUUGCUCCAGAUAUAUGUGCACUGGGCUUGACUGACUACACACUGUGUUGGCUGUUCCUGAUGUUUCCUGUUUCAGCUUUCCCACCCCUUGAACCACCAACACUGAUUCCCUUCUGCUUUAUUGCUGCCAAUACACCAUACAAUGCCAAAGAUACGUUUUUAAGUAAGUUCCACAGGCAACGCCAUCUUUCUUUCUAAUUACCCCCAGUUAGUGGGGAUAAACAUUUCCUCAGAGGGUACAAUGUUAAACCACAUUCCAGUAUUCAUCCUGACUUUCUGGUAAGGCUAAGCUUUAAAAAAAUGAUCUUCUUCCCAGUGGGAAGCAGAAAAUUCUGUCCUCAAAAGCACUUCUGAAAAUCAAGCCUUUUCUUCUGGAGGAAAGUGUGCAGCUUGCAGUUGCCGACUCUCUUCAUGUGUUCCCAUGAGUGGAGAUGGCCCUAAUCUGACUUUUCCUUUCUCAUCAUACUCGGUGCAUUUGCUUCCUUUAUGGGCUGUGUUUGUUUAGUUUCUUGCUGUUUGCCGUAUUAACUUCUUUAUUUCUUUUUCGUCAGGAGUUUGAUGCAUAUUUUAAUGUAGAGUCUUGAUUCUGUACCCUGCUCUCCUCUGUUCAGCGACACAAGCAAACCUGCUUCAAACUACAGCGCCUUCUGCAGUUACACGUGAAGACUGAAAGAAAUAGCGACAAUGCCCUUUCAUGUAGAAAAAAUUACACGAAGACAUCCCCGCCACACGACAGUGACGGAGGCAACGGACAGAGCAGGGCGGCUCUGCCCAUACAGAUACCUCCCGCCCCCACAGCCGC